UCCUAAUACUUGGAGUUUGACAAUUGGUUGAUGCCGGUUGAUACUCGAAUGAAUAUAGGCACUUCUUGUCAACAUCGAUGCUUGUAUGAGUGAACUUUGGAGUACAUAGCAGCAGCAUAAGUACCAGUCCAUCUGAUCAUUUUGUGCAGUUCUACUGAAAUCACCCGAUGUAAUGAUUUGCCUGCGAGUUCAGGCUCCAAAUUACUCCUUUAUGAAAUCAGCAAAUAGUAGCACAAUACCAAAUUACCAAUACAUAUGACAGGCACAAUAAUCAGGAUAAAGACCAGUAGCAACCUGUGUGAGGUAGCAUAUCAAUUACUAUUUCCUUU
RNAcentral lists this long non-coding RNA (329 nucleotides) under Triticum aestivum (bread wheat). RNAcentral's name for it is "long non-coding RNA (TAES_LNC015658)". Lineage: Eukaryota; Viridiplantae; Streptophyta; Magnoliopsida; Poales; Poaceae. The record is from RNAcentral.